GUGUGCUUGCUUUGGCACACAUAUACUAAAAUUGGAAUGAAACAGAGAAGAUUAGCAUGACCCCUGCACAAGGAUGACAUGAAAAUUCAUGAAGAGUUCCAUAUUUUU
Otolemur garnettii (small-eared galago) is the source of this 108-nucleotide small nuclear RNA. Lineage: Eukaryota; Metazoa; Chordata; Mammalia; Primates; Galagidae. The record is from Ensembl.